UUAUUCUUAGUUCAGAUUCUCCUCUUGUGGCAGUUGAAAUGUUAGCAAAUUUCAUGAUGCUAAUUAGAGCCUAUACUUUGUUGUUUUUACACCGACUUGCAGUAGGGAGAGAGAAGAGCUAGAACUCAGGUGGGCAGUCUAUAUGUGACUUCUACCUUUUUCUAUAGAGGUCGGUCAGUAUUCUGUUUUAUCCUUUUUAAGCUUGCAUGCAAACUGAUGACCUGUGACUAGUAGGGAAACUGCAUGUAGCUAUAUAAAUUCUGAUGCGGAUAAUAAUCAUUUGAACUUGCACUAUACAAAUUCAAAAGGAAGUUGCAUUCUGUGCAAAGUCGUGUUCUUGUUGCCCAUUCGUUUCCUGUUCCAGAACUCAUGUUUUGUGUCUUGCAUGUAAUAAUGAAAUUAUACUAUACCACAAGUGUAUGCAAACUACCGAGGCCAGCGUUGGCACACUUUUGUUUUUUGCUGGUUCAUCACUUGUAUGCAUUUACUUAAGGUCAUGUUCUUUUUCCCUUUGCAAAAACAAUAUAUUGCUGCUACUUAUGCUCUAGUCAUGUUUGUCUUUUUAUCAUGUGCUAUCAUCUUUAACUUCUUGUGUGUACUAUGUUGUUGUGUUCAGGUGGAGGGUGGCCUUUUGGAGGUGUACAUGAUGUUGGAUAAUGACACCAGGAAGCCAACAUGACAUUUUGCUUUUGAUGAGAUAGAGAUGAGGCAUUCUGUAAUGAAUCUAGUUACAUUGUGCAAGCAAACAUAUGACUUGUGCUUGCCAUUUGACCUAGCUAGGUUGUAUGUGUGCGUGUCCUUUUGUAAUGAUGACAUCAUGGAUCAAGAUGAUCUAGAAUUUGAUCUAUUGCUAAAUGUUGGCUUCAAUGAAUACUUGAGAGAUACCUUUAUCUAAUAUGAUGUGGUUAGUGUUGUGGGCAGCUACGGUUUACAUAUGUAUGUAUGGUUGAUGAAUAAUGUGACAUGUUAUGUAUGUUUAUUAGGUUUGAAAUCUGGUUAAUAUGAAAUUAUUAUUAUACA
This 1020-nucleotide long non-coding RNA is filed under the name Sorghum bicolor (sorghum). RNAcentral describes it as "long non-coding RNA (SBIC_LNC017737)". Lineage: Eukaryota; Viridiplantae; Streptophyta; Magnoliopsida; Poales; Poaceae. The record is from RNAcentral.